GUGUCAGCCGCCGCGGUAAUACAGAGGGUGCGAACGUUGCUCGGAAUUACUGGGCGUAAAGCGCGUGUAGGCGGGUCGGCAAGUCAGGCGUGAAAUCCCCAGGCUCAACCUGGGAACUGCGCUUGAAACUGCCGGUCUUGAGUAUCGGAGAGGGUGGCGGAAUUCCUGGUGUAGAGGUGAAAUUCGUAGAUAUCAGGAGGAACACCGGUGGCGAAGGCGGCCACCUGGACGAUUACUGACGCUGAGACGCGAAAGCGUGGGGAGCAAACAGGAUUAGAAACCCGCGUAGUCC
Molecule: ribosomal RNA, 292 nt
Filed under: uncultured bacterium
Lineage: Bacteria
Description: partial 16S ribosomal RNA
Rfam family: Bacterial small subunit ribosomal RNA
Source: RNAcentral